This 206-nucleotide ribosomal RNA is filed under the name uncultured bacterium. RNAcentral describes it as "partial 16S ribosomal RNA". It matches the Rfam family "Bacterial small subunit ribosomal RNA", at positions 568 to 774 of the family's 1533-position model. The record is from RNAcentral.
UGCGCAGGCGGUAAGUUAAGUCUGAUGUGAAAGCCCCGGGCUCAACCUGGGAAUGGCAUUGGAAACUGGCUUGCUAGAGUGUGGCAGAGGGGGGUGGAAUUCCGCGUGUAGCAGUGAAAUGCGUAGAGAUGCGGAGGAACACCGAUGGCGAAGGCAGCCCCCUGGGCCGACACUGACGCUCAGGCACGAAAGCGUGGGAGCAAACA